This 2119-nucleotide ribosomal RNA is filed under the name Escherichia coli. RNAcentral's name for it is "partial 23S ribosomal RNA". It matches the Rfam family "Bacterial large subunit ribosomal RNA", at positions 1 to 2144 of the family's 2925-position model. The record is from RNAcentral. Lineage: Bacteria; Pseudomonadati; Pseudomonadota; Gammaproteobacteria; Enterobacterales; Enterobacteriaceae.
GUUAAGCGACUAAGCGUACACGGUGGAUGCCCUGGCAGUCAGAGGCGAUGAAGGACGUGCUAAUCUGCGAUAAGCGUCGGUAAGGUGAUAUGAACCGUUAUAACCGGCGAUUUCCGAAUGGGGAAACCCAGUGUGAUUCGUCACACUAUCAUUAACUGAAUCCAUAGGUUAAUGAGGCGAACCGGGGGAACUGAAACAUCUAAGUACCCCGAGGAAAAGAAAUCAACCGAGAUUCCCCCAGUAGCGGCGAGCGAACGGGGAGCAGCCCAGAGCCUGAAUCAGUGUGUGUGUUAGUGGAAGCGUCUGGAAAGGCGCGCGAUACAGGGUGACAGCCCCGUACACAAAAAUGCACAUGCUGUGAGCUCGAUGAGUAGGGCGGGACACGUGGUAUCCUGUCUGAAUAUGGGGGGACCAUCCUCCAAGGCUAAAUACUCCUGACUGACCGAUAGUGAACCAGUACCGUGAGGGAAAGGCGAAAAGAACCCCGGCGAGGGGAGUGAAAAAGAACCUGAAACCGUGUACGUACAAGCAGUGGGAGCACAGAGCAAUCUGUGUGACUGCGUACCUUUUGUAUAAUGGGUCAGCGACUUAUAUUCUGUAGCAAGGUUAACCGAAUAGGGGAGCCGAAGGGAAACCGAGUCUUAACUGGGCGUUAAGUUGCAGGGUAUAGACCCGAAACCCGGUGAUCUAGCCAUGGGCAGGUUGAAGGUUGGGUAACACUAACUGGAGGACCGAACCGACUAAUGUUGAAAAAUUAGCGGAUGACUUGUGGCUGGGGGUGAAAGGCCAAUCAAACCGGGAGAUAGCUGGUUCUCCCCGAAAGCUAUUUAGGUAGCGCCUCGUGAAUUCAUCUCCGGGGGUAGAGCACUGUUUCGGCAAGGGGGUCAUCCCGACUUACCAACCCGAUGCAAACUGCGAAUACCGGAGAAUGUUAUCACGGGAGACACACGGCGGGUGCUAACGUCCGUCGUGAAGAGGGAAACAACCCAGACCGCCAGCUAAGGUCCCAAAGUCAUGGUUAAGUGGGAAACGAUGUGGGAAGGCCCAGACAGCCAGGAUGUUGGCUUAGAAGCAGCCAUCAUUUAAAGAAAGCGUAAUAGCUCACUGGUCGAGUCGGCCUGCGCGGAAGAUGUAACGGGGCUAAACCAUGCACCGAAGCUGCGGCAGCGACGCUGAUGCGUUGUUGGGUAGGGGAGCGUUCUGUAAGCCUGUGAAGGUGUGCUGUGAGGCAUGCUGGAGGUAUCAGAAGUGCGAAUGCUGACAUAAGUAACGAUAAAGCGGGUGAAAAGCCCGCUCGCCGGAAGACCAAGGGUUCCUGUCCAACGUUAAUCGGGGCAGGGUGAGUCGACCCCUAAGGCGAGGCCGAAAGGCGUAGUCGAUGGGAAACAGGUUAAUAUUCCUGUACUUGGUGUUACUGCGAAGGGGGGACGGAGAAGGCUAUGUUGGCCGGGCGACGGUUGUCCCGGUUUAAGCGUGUAGGCUGGUUUUCCAGGCAAAUCCGGAAAAUCAAGGCUGAGGCGUGAUGACGAGGCACUACGGUGCUGAAGCAACAAAUGCCCUGCUUCCAGGAAAAGCCUCUAAGCAUCAGGUAACAUCAAAUCGUACCCCAAACCGACACAGGUGGUCAGGUAGAGAAUACCAAGGCGCUUGAGAGAACUCGGGUGAAGGAACUAGGCAAAAUGGUGCCGUAACUUCGGGAGAAGGCACGCUGAUAUGUAGGUGAAGUCCCUCGCGGAUGGAGCUGAAAUCAGUCGAAGAUACCAGCUGGCUGCAACUGUUUAUUAAAAACACAGCACUGUGCAAACACGAAAGUGGACGUAUACGGUGUGACGCCUGCCCGGUGCCGGAAGGUUAAUUGAUGGGGUCAGCGCAAGCGAAGCUCUUGAUCGAAGCCCCGGUAAACGGCGGCCGUAACUAUAACGGUCCUAAGGUAGCGAAAUUCCUUGUCGGGUAAGUUCCGACCUGCACGAAUGGCGUAAUGAUGGCCAGGCUGUCUCCACCCGAGACUCAGUGAAAUUGAACUCGCUGUGAAGAUGCAGUGUACCCGCGGCAAGACGGAAAGACCCCGUGAACCUUUACUAUAGCUUGACACUGAACAUUGAGCCUUGAUGUGUAGGAU